CGGGCGCCUCCGGAGCUGCGCAGGGCUGAAGAAGGGGGACCAGCCAAGGCGGGCUCUGAGGGACCCUGGCCCGGAAUUGGAGCAGGUGUGCCGGCCUUAGGUCAGAGGUGCCUGCUUAUCCACACCUGACAGCACUUCUCCACUCUGGCUCCAUGAGGCCCGAAGUUUUUGAAUCAGCAUCUGAGUCAGUCAUGCAUCUUGUCUCAGGAUGUUGGCGUUCCAAGAAGGCAGCAGAUACGUUCGUCGCAAUGCCAUAUUCAUGUCCGGAUGGGAGGCAAUCCCUUGGAUUUGAAAGGGAAGAUGAGAUGGACUCGGUGUGUGUUUGGAACCUAGAAUGCAUUCCUUCAUCGAACAGUGUUGAUUCCAUGGGUCCUAGGCUGUGGGGAAUGGCCGGCAUCUACAGUGAGGUGGCUGUUUGUGGUCAGAUGCAGACUUUGAUGAUGUCAUUUUUCAAAGGUGAAGUUUCAUAAUUGAUUAGUCUUUUCAUCAAAAGAGUUACAAUUAGGGUCAAGGGAAGAUUAAAAAUUAUUCAAAGUAGACAUUUACCAUUUAAAAGGAAAGCUUGACUUUCUAGUUUGACUCAGUGUAUUGUCUAGCUAUUUGGACGUGCUGUAUUUUCUCUGCAGUUUCCUUUGUGGUGGAGUCAGAAUGAUGAGGGAGCAGGAGGCUGGCUGAGGACAAAGCAAGAGCUGGCGCCUUGCAACCCCCCCCCUUCAUCCGCUCCCCUCCAUAGGUGUAGCAUUCCUCAGGCACCCCUGACUGCCAUAAAAUGAUAAAUAGUUAACUUGCUGAGAUAAACCUAAAUAUCAUUAACAAGGAUGCUUGAUAGCAGGAAUGUAACAUUCCACCAGACUUCCAAUUGUCUUUACUUGAUAGCAACUAAGCCUUCGAUAUCCUGAUAGUAUUCUUUGCCCCAAUAGCCCUUCUGAACACCCCUUUGUCCUCACCUACCCAACUCCUGUGUAUAUAACCAACCACCCCUCACAACCCGGGGCAGACGCAUCUCCGCCUGCCCACGGGCCCUGUCCCCGUGCUCUAAUAAAUCACCUUUCGCACCAACGACGUCUUAAGAAUUCUUUCUUUAGUCGUCGGCUCCGAACCUCCUCACCCCACCGAACCUGACUUAGGUUCUGGGACUUCAUCAUUUUUGGCGAGCCAGCCAGGAGGUUUGUGAGUCUUUACAUUUGGACUCUGAGCUUCGGUGCAAAAUUGGUGAGUACUUU
This is a long non-coding RNA of Mustela lutreola (European mink), 1223 nucleotides long. RefSeq lists it as uncharacterized. Lineage: Eukaryota; Metazoa; Chordata; Mammalia; Carnivora; Mustelidae. The transcript is spliced from 3 exons. The record is from RefSeq and is a predicted model, not a curated record.